This 519-nucleotide ribosomal RNA is filed under the name uncultured bacterium. RNAcentral describes it as "bacterial SSU rRNA". It matches the Rfam family "Bacterial small subunit ribosomal RNA", at positions 992 to 1509 of the family's 1533-position model. The record is from RNAcentral.
AGAACUUUCCAGAGAUGGAUUGGUGCCUUUCGGGAACUCUGACACAGGUGCUGCAUGGCUGUCGUCAGCUCGAGUCGUGAGAUGUUGGGUUAAGUCCCGUAACGAGCGCAACCCUUGUCCUUAGUUACCAGCACGUCAUGGUGGGCACUCUAAGGAGACUGCCGGUGACAAACCGGAGGAAGGUGGGGAUGACGUCAAGUCAUCAUGGCCCUUACGGCCUGGGCUACACACGUGCUACAAUGGUCGGUACAGAGGGUUGCCAAGCCGCGAGGUGGAGCUAAUCUCACAAAACCGAUCGUAGUCCGGAUCGCAGUCUGCAACUCGACUGCGUGAAGUCGGAAUCGCUAGUAAUCGCGAAUCAGAAUGUCGCGGUGAAUACGUUCCCGGGCCUUGUACACACCGCCCGUCACACCAUGGGAGUGGGUUGCUCCAGAAGUAGCUAGUCUAACCUUCGGGGGGACGGUUACCACGGAGUGAUUCAUGACUGGGGUGAAGUCGUAACAAGGUAGGCGUAGUGCU